This 108-nucleotide non-coding RNA is filed under the name Trichomalopsis sarcophagae. Lineage: Eukaryota; Metazoa; Arthropoda; Insecta; Hymenoptera; Pteromalidae. The record is from RNAcentral.
GUGUUGUAUGAAAGGAGAGAAGUUUAGCACUCCCCUAGACAAGGAUGGAACACAUAUACUCGUAAGGCACUCGCCGUGCUUUUGCACGGUUCUUACGACAUUUUUUUU